This 208-nucleotide ribosomal RNA is filed under the name Neisseria meningitidis. Its description in RNAcentral is "partial 16S ribosomal RNA". It matches the Rfam family "Bacterial small subunit ribosomal RNA", at positions 130 to 340 of the family's 1533-position model. Lineage: Bacteria; Pseudomonadati; Pseudomonadota; Betaproteobacteria; Neisseriales; Neisseriaceae. The record is from RNAcentral.
CGAGUAGUGGGGGAUAACUGAUCGAAAGAUCAGCUAAUACCGCAUACGUCUUGAGAGAGAAAGCAGGGGACCUUUGGGCCUUGCGCUAUUCGAGCGGCCGAUAUCUGAUUAGCUGGUUGGUGGGGUAAAGGCCUACCAAGGCGACGAUCAGUAGCGGGUCUGAGAGGAUGAUCCGCCACACUGGGACUGAGACACGGCCCAGACUCCU